GUGAAGGAACUCCACAGGUCUAAUACUGAUACACAGGCCAUGUCUAUGACGAUGUGUGAAGGAACUCCACAAGUCUAAUACUGAUACACAGGCCAUGUCUAUGAUAAUGUGUGAAGGAACUCCACAAGUCUAAUACUGAUACACAGGCCAUGUCUAUGAUGAUGUGUGAAGGAACUCCACAGGUCUAAUACUGAUACACAGGCCAUGUCUAUGACGAUGUGUGAAGGAACUCCACAGGUCUAAUACUGAUACACAGGCCAUGUCUAUGAUGAUGUGUGAAGGAACUCCACAGGUCUAAUACUGAUACACCAGCCAUGUCUAUGAUGAUGUGUGAAGGAACUCCACAGGUCUAAUACUGAUACACAGGCCAUGUCUAUGACGAUGUGUGAAGGAACUCCACAGGUCUAAUACUGAUACACAGGCCAUGUCUAUGAUGAUGUGUGAAGGAACUCCACAGGUCUAAUACUGAUACACAGGCCAUGUCUAUGAUAAUGUGUGAAGGAACUCCACAGGUCUAAUACUGAUACACAGGCCAUGUCUAUGACGAUGUGUGAAGGAACUCCACAGGUCUAACACUGAUACACAGGCCAUGUCUAUUAUAAUGUGUGAAGGAACUCCACAGGUCUCAUACUGAUACACCGGCCAUGUCUAUUAUAAUGUGUGAAGGAAUUCCACAGGUCUAAUACUGAUACACAGGCCAUGUCUAUGACGAUGUGUGAAGGAACUCCACAGGUCUAAUACUGAUACACAGGCCAUGUCUAUGACAAUGUGUGAAGGAACUCCACAGGUCUAAUACUGAUACACAGGCCAUGUCUAUGAUAAUGUGUGAAGGAACUCCACAGGUCUAAUACUGAUACACAGGCCAUGUCUAUGACGAUGUGUGAAGGAACUCCACAGGUCUAAUACUGAUACACAGGCCAUGUCUAUGAUAAUGUGUGAAGGAACUCCACAGGUCUAAUACUGAUACACAGGCCAUGUCUAUGACGAUGUGUGAAGGAACUCCACAGGUCUAAUACUGAUACACAGGCCAUGUCUAUGACAAUGUGUGAAGGAACUCCACAGGUCUAAUACUGAUACACAGGCCAUGUCUAUGAUAAUGUGUGAAGGAACUCCACAGGUCUAAUACUGAUACACAGGCCAUGUCUAUUAUAAUGUGUGAAGGAAUUCCACAGGUCUAAUACUGAUACACAGGCCAUGUCUAUGACGAUGUGUGAAGGAACUCCACAGGUCUAAUACUGAUACACAGGCCAUGUCUAUGAUGAUGUGUGAAGGAACUCCACAGGUCUAAUACUGAUACACAGGCCAUGUCUAUGAUGAUGUGUGAAGGAACUCCACAGGUCUAAUACUGAUACACAGGCCAUGUCUAUGAUGAUGUGUGAAGGAACUCCACAGGUCUAAUACUGAUACACAGGCCAUGUCUAUGAUAAUGUGUGAAGGAACUCCACAGGUCUAAUACUGAUACACAGGCCAUGUCUAUGAUGAUGUGUGAAGGAACUCCACAGGUCUAAUACUGAUACACCGGCCAUGUCUAUGAUAAUGUGUGAAGGAACUCCACAGGUCUAAUACUGAUACACAGGCCAUGUCUAUGAUAAUGUGUGAAGGAACUCCACAGGUCUAAUACUGAUACACAGGCCAUGUCUAUGAUGAUGUGUCAAGCAGAGAAUGAAGAGGACCCUGUACAGUUCAUUACAUGUUAGUUGUACACCAUUGGGCAUCUUUCCCAAAACCAUAACCCUGGCUUUCCUGUACUGUGAUUCCUUUUCAAAACCUGACUAACACCUGCCCUGGACAUAAAACGUAAAACCCUAACUAACCCUAGCCUUAGAACAUUAAACCCUAACUAACCCUAGCCUUAGAACAUUAAACCCCAACUAACCCUAGCCGUAGAACAUUAAACCCUAACUAACCCUAGCCUUAGAACAUUAAACCCUAACUAACCCUAGCCUUAGAACAUUAAACCCUAACUAACCCUAGCUCUGGGUUUAGAACUUAAAACCAUAACUAACCCUAGCCCCGGGUUUAGAACUUAAAACCCUAACUAACCCUAGCCCUGAAUUUUGAACGUAAAACCCUAACUAACCCUAGCCCUGGAUUUAGAACUUAAAACCCUAACUAACCCUAGCUCUGGAUUUAGUUAAAACCCUAACUAACCCUAGCUCUGGAUUUAGUUAAAACCCUAACUAACCCUAGCUCUGGAUUUAGUUAAAACCCUAACUAACCCUAGCUCUGGAUUUAGUUAAAACCCUAACUAACCCUAGCCCUGGCCUUCUCAACUCUAAACUUCCAAACGCAGGCUGUGUUUACACAUGCAGCCCAAUUCUUAUCUUUUUUUUCACUAAUUGGUCUUUAGUCUAAUCAGAUGUGCACUGAAAAAGUUCUGAUGUGAAAAGAUCUGAUGUGAUUGGUCAAAAAAAACAACUACUGUCAAAAAGAUCAGAAUUGGGCUGCCUUACAGUCCAGCUCAGCACAAUCAACAUGGAUGCAAAAAACACACUACCCAGUUCCCUACCAGUCCCCCACUAUGAAACACUCUCAUAGGAGGCUGUGCUUGUCCCUCGUCUUUUUCCCACUUCAUCACAAGAUGGUCAGAGACGUUAUGACAUCUUUUUAUUUCCCCACAUCACCCCCAUUAAUGCCAUGUGUCUCUGGCCUAAAGAGGAUGUCUCACCUGGCCGUAUAAAACCCUGCCUACCAGUACAACUACUUCACACAUGCUUGCACACACGCAUGGUCACGCACACACAACAUAAAUAACACAUUGGACAGAGAAAGCGGGUACAAGUGCUGAUUUCAGGAAAAAAUGCAUUAGUUCCUUUCAGGCCCCAAACCUUUGACUGACUUGCAAGGGAGAUGGUUGUUAUGGGAGCCAUUUAGAAUGUGUCAAGUGUUUAGAGGGGACUCAGGCCAGCCUUGUGUCAGACAUGUUCCCUGUGGGGUCUCUAUAACAGAACAUAUAACAGUCCUGGGAUGGAGUGUUGGGGAGGAGGAGGCACAAAGAGUCAGCUUGUUGCUACCAUAUGGAAAGGAUGACAGGAGUUGUCUCAGGAGAAUGAGAGAAAGCUGGAGAAAAGCUAGGAACGCUCAAUUCUCCCGUGCUUAUCUAGAAGGCAAUCUGCGUGUUUCUUUGCGGCACUCAAACAUUUAGUUUUGUGUUUAUUUAUGACAAGCAGAUGUUUCAACAAGAGGAUGUUCAACGCCCGAGAAGAAAAAGAGGAGGGGGAGUAAAGAAGAGAAAAGCAGCUCGUGGUCGUGCCUUACUGCAGGAGAGGACAGGGGCUCCAAGCCUGCCUUAUUUAAUAACUCACCUGAGGUAUUUGGCAUAUGACACGCGAACAGGGCUCAUAUUUACGAGUGUACCCCAGGAGGAGAGAACAGGGCCAACCAAAAAGGCAAAAGACGUCAAAAUAAGAGAUGAACGAGGAAGCAAAAAUUUCCACACCUCUCCAAUCCACCGGCAGUAAAUCCACAGGUGCAUAUUAGCAUGUCCCUGAGUGAUGAACUAACACUAUAACCACAUCAUUGAAUGAGCAGUAGGUUUGUGUUCAUACAUUUUAUUUUUAGUGCCGUGCUUAUCAUAAGAUAUUUGCUGGCAUUACAACUAGUCAGCAGCUUUAUGCUGCUCAUAAAAAAUUACAAUAAAAUAAAAAAGUCUAAUAAAGUUUUUACUUUUAAAAUACACUAUCACGUAAACUAUAUAUGGAUACAGAGAGCCAUAUUGACAACUUUACGGGAAUAAUAUGAAUGA
Molecule: long non-coding RNA, 3745 nt
Organism: Oncorhynchus keta (chum salmon)
Lineage: Eukaryota; Metazoa; Chordata; Actinopteri; Salmoniformes; Salmonidae
Exons: 8
Source: RefSeq, a predicted model, not a curated record